UCAGGCAGCCAUGAGACCCUCUCUUCCCCAAGUCUCGUUUCUCUUUCUUCCUCUAGAUCUACAGAUUCUCAAUCUUUACGUUUCUGUUGAUCUCUAUCUCUUACUAUUUAUGUCUCAGUUUCUUCCUUUACUGUUUUUGUUCUCUCCUAAUACUUUUAUCUCUUCUUACUUAGGUUUUGAUUCUGUUUCUCACUCAUGUUGUUUUUUGAAGCGAUGAAGAACACCCAAAACCCAGAAGACGGACUCCUCUUCAGACAUCAUCAUCAAUGGCUGGCGAUUACAAAAAUCCGGGUGAUACGGGUGCACAUUCUGAAAUACUUGGGCAUAGUUCGAAGAAAUGGGUUGCUUAUUCUUUGCUGAGUCUAUAUGUUUUUCUUUGUGAAAUUAUUUAUGCUGCUUUCGUAGUAUAUUUAUGGUCCGCAAUUGGGACAUAUGAUGUUGUGAGAGCUCUACUACUGCUCAAUUUAGUCGAAGAUUUCUUUCCUGGUGUGACAAGAAAAAAUCCCUAACUUGGAUGUUGGUCAGUGUCAAGUGAUCCAGCGUUUGCUCGAAGUUACAGAAUCUGCAGCGAAUUCUCAGCCGAUGACACACCUAAAAAAUUAGUGAAAAAGGAUCCAGAUCAUUCAUACGUCGAUUCUGACAAAAGACAAACCUAUAGUGAAAGCUAUGUUACACCCAGUGACACUCGCAAAGCAUCCUCAAGGUUGGCUUCAAUUUGGUUGCUUUGAAUACCACAGGUAGAUCAUAAAUUUAUAAUCACAAGAAUAAGAAUUAUACGGUAGGUAUAUGUAUUUUGAAGGCACAGCCUCCGUGAAAACCUGUUGGAAGUAUCCUUGGUUCAUUCCAGUCUUAUGGGACGACAGAGGCACAAGCUGUUAUACUGUGUCGUUGGGCAACAUAAUCUAUUUUAUUAAUAUAGUGGUUUUCUAAUCUUACAGUAAUGUUGUGCAGAGAUAGUUCUUUAGUUCCAUCGGGAAAAGAUCUAUUAUCAAGAAGAGGAUCACAGCGGGAUGACGAAUGGAGUUCAGAUUUACUUGGCUGUUGUGCAGAACCUGCUUUGUGGAAAAGAUGGUGCUGCAGACUCAAUUUUCUCAAGUUCGGACACCUGUUGCGGUGACACCUCUACCCACGGGUAUUGUUGCAUAUCAUCUUGGAGGACAUUUACAUCCUCAUCCUCAACAGAUGUAUUUUAGUUAAGGUGGUCCUAGAUUUGUUCGAUAACUUGCAGCUUAUCGUUUCCAAUUCCAACUAUUGCCUGGGAUGAGGCCAAGUGUUUCCCCAAACUUUAUGAUGCCAUACCCGCUCCAGCGACAAUGGCAUCCUGGACAAAGAAUGAUUGCAAGGAGACAUGGGAACCCACAACAACAAAUGCAGCAACAACAUCAGAGGCUUGUGCAAGUAUGGUUAAAUAUCACAGGAACCUUACGGAGUGUGGAUACAGAGCACUAAUAUUCAGGGGUUGUAAACAGAAAAAGGUGGUGCCGGCAAUGAAGAGAAUGUGCUUUUCAGGAAUACCGUGAUAUGUGUGUACUAUAUACUGGGAGUGAACAGGAGGUCACUUGUUUUUUCAAUAAACGAGUUGCUGGGUAUACCUUCAAGGCUAUGACAAUAAUCUAAUUAUCCUCACUAUAAAGACUGCCAAAUACAAGAAGGGAAGUUGAAUAUUGAACCAGGUAAACCUAGUCUGGCAUUUCCUUUUAGAUCGUCAAUGGCUACAAUCAUCAAUCACAACAACUCCCUGUCUUCUAUAGCUUAGACCACAUCACUCCAUUUAUAUAUAGUUCUCCAUUCUUGCUAAGUUAUGAGAAGCAGUCUAUUACGUUCCGGCUUUGGCUUUGAUGAGCUUGGUCUUCUAAAACAGAUUCAGAUAACUUUUGUAUGCUUAUACUUGGGUUAUGAUAAAUUAGGUCACCCA
Molecule: long non-coding RNA, 1915 nt
Organism: Papaver somniferum (opium poppy)
Lineage: Eukaryota; Viridiplantae; Streptophyta; Magnoliopsida; Ranunculales; Papaveraceae
Exons: 8
Source: RefSeq, a predicted model, not a curated record